UUUAUUUAUUUAUUUAUUUUAUUUUUAUUUUUAUUUUUUAUUUUUUUCGGAUCUAAUUCUGAUUGACAUGAUGAAAUGCAAUAUGAAAUGCUAAAUGAAUGCAUGAAUGAGGAGGGCAAAUUUUGGGGUGUUACAAUCUUCUCCGCCAACAACUGAAUUUCUUUAUUUGGCGGUUGGACACCAUAUUGCCCAAACGGUUCAUUAAGCAUAGAGAAUUGAUC
This 221-nucleotide long non-coding RNA is filed under the name Lathyrus oleraceus (garden pea). RNAcentral describes it as "Pisum sativum (pea) long non-coding RNA (PSAT_LNC029956)". Lineage: Eukaryota; Viridiplantae; Streptophyta; Magnoliopsida; Fabales; Fabaceae. The record is from RNAcentral.